Long non-coding RNA from Saccostrea cuccullata (small rock oyster), 1988 nucleotides. RefSeq lists it as uncharacterized. The record is from RefSeq and is a predicted model, not a curated record. Lineage: Eukaryota; Metazoa; Mollusca; Bivalvia; Ostreida; Ostreidae. The transcript is spliced from 8 exons.
GUGAUGUAUAUUCUAUAAUCUUGUGAUGUAUAUUCAAUAUCUUGUGAUGUAUGUUCGAAGUCUUGUGAUGUAUAUUCAAUAUCUUGUGAUGUAUAUUCGAAAUCUUGUGAUGUAUAUUCUAUAAUCUUGUGAUGUAUGUUCGAAAUCUUGUGAUGUAUAUUCGAAAUCUUGUGAUGUAUGUUCGAUAAUCUUGUGAUGUAUGUUCGAAAUCUUGUGAUGUAUGUUCGAUAAUCUUGUGAUGUAUAUUCGAAAUCUUGUGAUGUGUGUUCUACAAUUCAGUGAUGCGUGCAAUAAAAGUGCAUGACGCAACAGAAAAGUAAGGACAAUUUUCAUUGGUUAGAAAUAACGAAAGUAGCCGGAGCGGUCGUAAUGCACACAUUGACACAACUUCGCAAGCAUGAAAUUGGCGAAUUCAACCUAAAGUCAAAAUUAUAGGAACUUUACGUAGGUCUACAGUUUUAAUUUUGGACUCAUGCACUAGGAAUAUCAUAUCAGCAGAAUUGUGCCACUGAAUCAAAGGGAACUCUUUUUUUUUAGGUACGCAUGAUCGAUGUAACUUCCUCGAUGGUGUGUUGGCUGUUUGCCCAUGUGUAUUUCGGGGUAUAGGAGUAGCCUCCCCUUUUAAAGAUCCAAAAUGGUGAUUUUACAGUGCGGCAUGCAGUCUGGUCAUCAACGAAGAGUUUUGACACCUGUAAUACCCAUAUUUCUACCAUUCACCUCUGUAACCUUUGUUGAGUUCAUCAGACUGUCCAAGACAGGAAGUUGAGGAAUAAAGUUGACAGGACAUCCUGAACUGUCCUCGCUACCAGCUUAUCAGGGAACCAGCUGCAGUGGACAAAGUACGUUACAUCAUAGGAUAAUAGCAUUGAAUUGGAUUCUUGAACCAGAGCCAUGUGAACCUGGUCCACCUGUACCUCUCAUUGAAGACCUGUUAACAUCACCAGAGUAUGUUCAUUCUGAUACCCCUAUGGUAUGGUUACAGCAUGCAUUAUCCCUGAAUCCAUUAAAAGAGCUGCAUUGGCAACGAAACAACCCAAUGUGGUCGAUUGUAAGGAAAUAUAGCAUAUCAGCUUCCAACUUUGGUGCAGUUCUCAGUUCUAAGCAAAGGCGAUUGACAUUGUCACUGAAGAAACAGCUGAUGUCGGCUUACAAUCUGGAGUCCAUCAAGGCUGUUGCAUGGGGUAUCACUCAUGAAGAUGAUGCUUUGAGAAAGUAUGAAAAAGGACUUUGAUGCAGCUGUAGAGCAGUCAGGAUAUGGUUGCAUGAAUCUGGAGUGUUGGGAGCUUCACCUGAUGGCUUAGUUGUUCGACCACCAACAUGCAGUGUAUUUUAUCAAACUCCAGAAGCCAAAGACGCCAUUCCUGAUAUUGUAGAGGUGAAGUGUCCAUACACAGCAUCGUCUUCAACAGUAGCAGAUGGGGCACAAAAUUUGAAGGAUUUUUCAUAGAUCUUAAACAAGAUACCCUGUGCCUGAAAACCAGUCACCCAUACUAUCAUCAAAUUCAAGGCCAGCUACACAUAUGUAACAAAACAUUCUGCGACUUAAUUGUGUGGACAAGAGUAGACUGCAUUGUGAUUAGAAUAGUAAAAGACAUUGAAUGGACAGCAAAUGUUCCAAAGCUGAUAGAUUUCUACAUUAACAUUUUCAUUCCAGCACUGAUGGAAAACUGAGUUCUAGUUUGAACUUCUUGACACUUAGUUUUGUACCUCUAGAAUUUUCUAACAAUGGAAAAUGGGUAAUCAUGUUAAAUGUGUUGAAUGUUCCUAAGUCUCAUAAAUGUAUGAUAUGAUAUGUCAUAAUCCAUCAUAAAACUUCUGGCUUAUAAGACUAUUUUAAAUAGCAAUGAUGAUUAAUAAAAUCUAUGUACUACAUAAAAAAAGAAUAUCAAAAUUUAGAAUCAUUUUAUUAAUGAAUUGAAGAUGUUAUUCUCAAAGUGAAAAUGUAACAUUUUUGUCUUUCUUAAUAGAUAAAUUGUUGAAAACAUGAA